AGGAGGUUAUUGAAAGGACAUCACCACAAACUGACCUGCCGGCGAGAUCCGGGCACCGGGAAGCUCCUCAGGCCCCCACCCUACCUCACUCCUCCAUCUUUGGAAUGUUCCGCCCACCCACCAUUUCUGCAUAAGGAGCUGUUCCAAGGACGCAUCCUUGAGAGAGUAAGGUGUUGCUGAGACCAUCUGGAUGGGAUACGUUACUCAGCCCAGUUAAGGCCUCUAUAUAAACUUUGAAGAUUCUGGCGGCGGGUGCGGAGACCCACUCGUCUUGCGGCGGCCGUCCUAGACAAGCCUGGUAAAAACUUCUCCUCCCCAAGUGUGCACCCAGGUUUAGCCACUGUGUUGAUCCACAUUGGUAGAAGAAAUAUGAACCUCACUAAUGACUCUUCCUCUAGCCAUUCCCAUUCAUUUAAGAGGAGAAUUACAAUGAGCAGAAGAAUGCAUAAACUUAGAUUCUCAAGGUCAUCUCAAAUCCUGAAGUCCCUGGUUUCUG
Lutra lutra (Eurasian river otter) is the source of this 496-nucleotide long non-coding RNA. RefSeq lists it as uncharacterized. NCBI's taxonomy places the organism in Eukaryota, Metazoa, Chordata, Mammalia, Carnivora, Mustelidae. The record is from RefSeq and is a predicted model, not a curated record. The transcript is spliced from 3 exons.